CCCUUAGAUGUUCUGGGCCGCACGCGUGCUACACUGAGUGGAUCAGCGGGUCAGGUUGCGCGAAAGCGUUUCCUAAUCUUUAAAUCCGCUCGUGAUGGGGAUUGACGGUUGCAAUUUUCUGUCAUGAACGAGGAAUUCCUUGUAAUCGCGGUUGAUCAGCUCGCGUUGAAUACGUCCCUGCCCUUUGUACACACCGCCCGUCGCUCCUACCGAUGAAUCGUCCGGUGAAGUUCACAGAGUGGCGGUUCGUGGAGUUGCUCGCGAAGUGAAAUGGACCUCACGAUUUAGAGGAAGGAGAAGUCGUAACA
RNAcentral lists this ribosomal RNA (308 nucleotides) under uncultured eukaryote. RNAcentral's name for it is "partial 18S ribosomal RNA". It matches the Rfam family "Eukaryotic small subunit ribosomal RNA", at positions 1470 to 1796 of the family's 1831-position model. The record is from RNAcentral.